GCCCCCAUCGUCUAGUGGU
This 19-nucleotide non-coding RNA is filed under the name Arabidopsis thaliana (thale cress). RNAcentral also lists the same sequence under 1 other name. The record is from RNAcentral. Lineage: Eukaryota; Viridiplantae; Streptophyta; Magnoliopsida; Brassicales; Brassicaceae.